GAUGAACGCUAGCGGCAGGCUUAACACAUGCAAGUCGAGGGGUAUUUAUCUUCGGAUAGAGAGACCGGCGCACGGGUGCGUAACGCGUAUGCAAUCUACCUUUUACAGAGGGAUAGCCCAGAGAAAUUUGGAUUAAUACCUCAUAGUAUAUAGACUCGGCAUCGAGAUUAUAUUAAAGUCACAACGGUAAAAGAUGAGCAUGCGUCCCAUUAGCUAGUUGGUAAGGUAACGGCUUACCAAGGCUACGAUGGGUAGGGGUCCUGAGAGGGAGAUCCCCCACACUGGUACUGAGACACGGACCAGACUCCUACGGGAGGCAGCAGUGAGGAAUAUUGGACAAUGGGCGCAAGCCUGAUCCAGCCAUGCCGCGUGCAGGAUGACGGUCCUAUGGAUUGUAAACUGCUUUUAUACGAGAAGAAACACUGCUACGUGUAGCAGCUUGACGGUAUCGGAAGAAUAAGGAUCGGCUAACUCCGUG
RNAcentral lists this ribosomal RNA (478 nucleotides) under uncultured bacterium. RNAcentral's name for it is "partial 16S ribosomal RNA". It matches the Rfam family "Bacterial small subunit ribosomal RNA", at positions 28 to 507 of the family's 1533-position model. The record is from RNAcentral.